GCAAGGUCUUGGCAUUAGGUCCUGCUCCUCUGGGAUAACACACACAGGAGUAUUAACGCAGUAAAAAAUGUAUAUAUACAUAUAUUUUUUUAACAGAUAUUAAAUAAUUACAACAAUAAUUAUGAUUUUGGUUUUAUGUAGACAUACAUAUCUCUCAUCUCACCUCAUACAUAAAAUGCAUAUAUAUAUAUAUAUAUUAAUAGAAAGUCAAAGUGAACUAAAACAUUUUCAGGCUUUAUUUUGCAUCUUUGGAUUUAAAAUGAUACAAUGAUGGGUGGGUCAUAGUUCACCUAUUUUAGGGUUCCAAAAGUAUUUGGGCAGAUUAAAAUGAUGUACUGUAAGGUUUCAACUGAGAACAUAAAACAGAUCUUCAGUUAAAUACAAAAAAACGUAUUAAUUCCAACAGGCUCAAAACUGAGGCUCUGACAUCUCCAGGUCUUAACAAACCCUGGUGCUCUCCCUUCUCGAUGAGGAAAUCAAUGAUUCUCAUCGACACCUUGACAAUAUUUCUCUCCAUGAAGUCCAGAAUUUCACGGAAGAAGUUGGGUGUGAAAUUCAUCUGGGGUUCUACUCCGACAUAGUCUGGACAGAGCUCUGCGCGCACACGCACACACACACACACACACACACACACACAGGUGUGAGAGAUCACUUUGGGGGGAAAAACCUAAUAUGCCUCCAACCAAAUUAAAGACAAUUUUAUCACCUCCACAUCCUUAUCAAAAGACAUUUUCAUCAAUCCUCCCAAGCUAAAAUAUUUGUCAUCUUGAUUGACUCCAUCUAGCUCUGUGGCGUCUCUUUAACCUCAGGCGUGAAAUGUAUGAGAUGAUGACCACUGUCCAGGAUGAAAGAUGCGAUUAAUUGCACUGCAAGAGAAGGCAGCUGUUCAGACUGGUGAACCGAUUCCAACGUAAAAUGGGGGAACCCUGAUCGUACACAAAGUCUACACCAAGAUCUCAAAACGCGACAUCAAAGUUGUCUCCGCUGUGUGGUCUGAAGUAUUAUUAGACUGUAACGGAGUUGAGUUGACACCUGGACAUUUCCCGAGUCAUGUGUGGAGCAGGAAUUGGGAUUGAUGAAGGAAUCCUCGACUGGGCUAUCACAGUUUGUUGACUUGCAUUGUGGAGCAGCAUCUCUGUGUGGACUGACAAUCUUCGCCACAGGAAAACCAGUCCAGACUCAGCAGGGGUUCGAUUCCCACUUCAGCUUAACAGUGUUCACUCACUUCCCCCCGAAAGCAAUGUUCAAGACCAAUUUUGGCACACUGUCAGCUCCCCUAUAUAGGUUUUCUAUGUACAGCAAAAUUGAAAAUGUUUUGUCCUGCCGCAAUACAGUAUAUUUACGUCUGUGCUUAUGAAAUUUGGCCUCUAAAUACUUUUUUUUCCUAGUUCGUAAACUGACCUGUUGUUGUGUUGAUGAAAUACACAGGUGGCAUUUUGAGACAUUCAACCUGUGUUUUAAACUGAGAGAGUUCAUCAGUAGUGAGUUCCCUUCUUUCACCUGAGGAAAAAAUUAAUAAUAUUGACAUCAGAUUAUUUUACCCGUAGUUCCAUGUGCUUUUGUGCUAGUAACAAUGUAUUUAUGUCAUACUCUUUUAAAUCCACCUGUUAAAGGCAUUCAUUUAUUGUAUUGCCAGCAUUGUGUAUUGAGCUUUUGUACAACUUGUACAUUGUUUUCAGAUGUACAAGUUGUACAAACAUUUUGGCAAUUAUUUAACCUUUUGCAGAAAACAAUGUGUGUCCGGAGGAGUCAGCGGCUGUUUUCUACAAAACUUGUCAACUCUUAACUGUCCUCAGAAUCAGUAGUCUCUGGAACAUGAGGGUGUGUUUGAGUCCGCAAUCCAUCCUGUGUAUUUAAAGGAAAAUAAAGGGCAGUGAUUUCGGAAGAUCUAAAUUCUUACUGUAGAGUUCCAGAGAGAUGUAGGUGUUUCCAUUGAUGGAGGUUGUAGUCUGGGUCAAAAGACAGUCUGGACAAGUGGGCAGGAAAAUGGCAGUGGAAGGCACUCCGGACACUGUUAAAUCACAGGAAAACAGACACAGACAGGUCAAUAUUAGUGUACUACAAAGUGAAGAGGGUGUAAUUUGGGAUUAAAGUGUAGUGUACUACUUACUCCAGCUAAGCUUGUUGUCUUCAAGAGUCAUGUUGAAACUGUAACUGAGACAUUUUUCACUAAGAAGAGUAGAAGGAGGAAAAGGACAGGAGUGGAGGUGGUGGAUGAGUGGAUGUUGAAGGAGGUGGAUUGGGAGUGCGAGUAAAGGAGGAGGGGGUGGAGAAAUGGAAGGAGUGGAAGGAGAAGGAAUAGGAAAAAUAAAGCAUUAUUUUAGUCACAAAUUUCCACACGGUUCAACAAGGUUCUUGGGCAACUGGUGAGCAACAAUGGUUAAGAUCCUUGCUCAAGGGCAGAACAAAAAAAAUUUGUUCACCUAAUCAGCAAAGAGAUGUUAUUUCUUGGCCCAGUGGUCCUAUCGGGACUAAAGGAGAGAAGGAGGAAGAGUAGUAAAAGAAGGAGUAAUGAAGAGGGAGAGAGAAGGAGAAGGACGGGGAAGUGGAGCAAGAGAAUAUAGGAAGAUUGUAAAUGUUAGGGUCUUGGUUCCAUCAAAUCUGUUUUAUAAUAUGAUAAUGUAGUUCUCCUGUUAACACACACACAAUCAACUGUGCACACUACAAACAUAUUAUCACACACAGACUUACACAAUCAACUGUCCACACUACAAACAUACAAUCACACACAGACUUACACAAUCAACUGUCCACACUACAAACAUAUUAUCACACACACACUCACUAUUUCACACAAAUGGUGCUUUUCAGUACGUCGCUCUUUUCCCAGCGUACAAUGUCCCAUCGGGCGUUAAUUAACAGAACUUCACUUAGAGUCCUGGCGCCUAAAAAAAUAAUGUUAUUUAACAGAACAAUGAGGAUUAAACAGGAAGAGAAGAGGACCAACACAAGAAGAAAAGCAAAUAAAACUUAAAACCUGGUCGAUUGUUGCUGACAGCCACCAAAGACCAAUUCCCUAGGAGCUGGAAGGAGAGAUCAGAUGAGACAAUCAGACAGGGAGGUCAUUCACAGGCAUAUAUACACACUCAACCUGCGAGGACCCUUACAAAUACCCCUGCCACUUCUCAUGGAACAGACGUUCAUUAACGUAAAUGGCCAAAGAGCCAAUCAUUUUGCCGCAACUCAAUAUAUAAAGCACGCAGACAUGUCUACGUGCAGAGGUCUAGCUGUUGUUUAGCCAAACAUUCGAAUGGGGAAGACAGCGUACUAGAUGGCUAUGGCCGCCGUGUGAUUGUUGUUGCCGGACGUGGUGGAUCGGGCAUCUCAGAAGCAGCUGAACUUUUGCGCGCUACAGCCUCUGGAUUCGACUGAGGAUGAUGUGUUAAACAAAAAGCAUCCAGCGAGCUGCAGUUUGGUUGGGGCGAAAAACAACUCAUUAAUGACAGAGUUGAGAGGAGAAUGGACUGGUUCAUUCAAGCUGGCGGAAAGGCCAUAUUCAAAUAUCCUUUACAAUAGUGAUGUGCAGAAGGGCAUCUCUGUAUGGGAGCGACCCAUCAAACACUGAAGCAGAUAGAGGUACAAGGGGCCCCUACCCAAUACUAGAAAGGUGUACCUAAUGAAGUGGUCGGUGACAGUAAGAUAAUACACACCGAUGCAACUGUAAAGAGACUGACAUAGAUCAACAGAUAGUCAGGCAGACGAAACGUUUUUAAUGUGUCCAUAAAUUCUCACCAGAUCAUUGGUCUCCAUGUCCAGGGGUUUGAGGAGUUUCUCGCAGUCUUGAGAAGAAGGAGCCGUCUGACUCACCGAGACCAGGCUGAAGAUCACAGCAACACACACCACCAACAUGCUGACACUACCUGCGUCGCCCUGUGUAGUACCUAUGUAUCACUAUGUAUCCCUUGCGAUUUCUAAUGCAGUCUAUGGAUUGUUUUUCAUCCGGUCACAUUCUUAAGCGCCACACUCUCGAUUGACAUAAAUAUUAGCCACCAAUGUUUGAGUAACUAGAACUCCCAACUCCUCUUCACUUUCCUUCCCUCUCCCCCUCCACAAACAGGAUGGUAUAUCGCCACUAUUGACUUAAGGCUUUGCCAUUACUGAUCCUAAACUCUAACAAAUGUAGAACUUUGGCCUAGAUUUGAACCGAGCCACUGUACACAGUGAUUACUGGCAAACUACUUGGCAUAGUGCACCUUGGGAGUAGA
Long non-coding RNA from Esox lucius (northern pike), 4205 nucleotides. The record is from Ensembl. Lineage: Eukaryota; Metazoa; Chordata; Actinopteri; Esociformes; Esocidae.